UUUCUUUUCUUCUUCUCUUUAUACUUUGGUAUUCUAAACCGAUAAUCACUCAAUCGCUAUUACGAUUCAUUUUCCGACCGAUCAAUAUAUCCAAUGGAUGUUUAAGUGCCGCCCACAUUAGGGUUAUACUUUGUCGUUCGUCGUUAAUUCGAUGAAUGUUUAAGUAUCGCACUUUGUCGUUCGUUGUGAGAAUUUGAUCUCGUGAGUUAUCGUAAAAGCUGUAUUGAUCACUAACCCAGUUUAUAAGACUAUACUUUGUAGAAUUCGUUAAGGUUCGAAUCUCGUGACUACCGUUAAGGUUUGAUUUGGGUUUUACACAAAUACGUAUUCCAUUCUGUUAAACUAUGUAUUUAACUACCAAGAAUACUCCCAACUACACCCUUACAAUCAAACAAACUAUUAAAUCAUCAGAAGAUCCAGAAUAAUAAAGUGCAUGCUUAAUUAUCGGAAGAAGUAGAAUCAAGAAGUUUGUUAACUCAAUCCUGCAUGCUGAUUUGUAAUUACAAUAGAUUGGAGUAAGGAUUGGAUCUGACACUGAAGGACUUCAAGAAGUGGCUUAUUCUAUUAAUUAAAUCAACUUAAGAAAUAUUGUUUUUGGGUUUAUCCCGUAUUAAAAGCUACCUUUGUAAAACAUGGAAUUUAUUCCAUCUAUUUAAAUAAAAAUCCGGUGUUUCUAAAACUCUGAUAAUUUUCCUAACUCACGGUCCUGAUGAAAUUUCCGCUGCAAUGUUUUUAAAAUAAUCACCGGUACCAGUUGACUUCUCGCGACUUUCGAUUCCGGCCAGGAUGGGGUCGGGGGUCGUGACACUCACGCGCUCAUGCAUCCCUAUUGUGAAAGUCCGAUGGGAAGGCAAACGAGGCGCGGAGUUCAGUUGGGAACUCGAAAGUGACAUGAAGGCCAAGUACCCGCAGUUGUUUAAAUAGAUCUGAAGCAUCAAAUUGGUAAAUCACGGUGAUGUGCAGCUCUCAGCCUAAUUUCGGGACGAAAUUCCCUAAACAAGGGGAGGCUGUAACACCCCGUGUUUUCGAAUGUCAAAGUCAAAGUCAAAAUUUGACUUUUGACUAUAAAUAGUCUAUUUUAAUUUUUGUAUUAUGUGGAGUAAGUGUUGUCUAAUCUAAACAAUCGAAUGUUAAUCAAAUGU
This 1142-nucleotide long non-coding RNA is filed under the name Helianthus annuus (common sunflower). RNAcentral's name for it is "hypothetical non coding rna". The record is from RNAcentral. Lineage: Eukaryota; Viridiplantae; Streptophyta; Magnoliopsida; Asterales; Asteraceae.